GAUGAAGAACGUAGCGAAAUGCGAUAAGUAAUGUGAAUUGCAGAAUUCAGUGAAUCAUCGAAUCUUUGAACGCACAUUGCACCCGCCAGUAUUCUGGCGGGCAUGCCUGUCCGAGCGUCAUUUCAACCCUCGAACCCCUCCGGGGGGUCGGCGUUGGGGAUCGGCCCUCCCUUAGCGGGUGGCCGUCUCCGAAAUACAGUGGCGGUCUCGCCGCAGCCUCUCCUGCGCAGUAGUUUGCACACUCGCAUCGGGAGCGCGGCGCGUCCACAGCCGUUAAACACCCAACUUCUGAAAUGUUGACCUCGGAUCAGGUAGGAAUACCCGCUGAACUUAAGCAUAUCAAUAAGCGGAGGA
Molecule: unclassified non-coding RNA, 354 nt
Filed under: soil metagenome
Description: partial contains 5.8S ribosomal RNA, internal transcribed spacer 2, and large subunit ribosomal RNA
Rfam family: 5.8S ribosomal RNA (bases 1-120)
Source: RNAcentral